Mustela erminea (ermine) is the source of this 89-nucleotide long non-coding RNA. RefSeq lists it as uncharacterized. The record is from RefSeq and is a predicted model, not a curated record. Lineage: Eukaryota; Metazoa; Chordata; Mammalia; Carnivora; Mustelidae. The transcript is spliced from 3 exons.
UAUUGAAGACUUAAAUGUGGUAAGACUUGCCGGUCUUCACGAGCUCUCCCUCCCUUACCAAGUCCUCGGCAACCCUCCUCUUGCAGGUC